This 75-nucleotide transfer RNA is filed under the name Marmota monax (woodchuck). Its description in RNAcentral is "tRNA.Ala". Lineage: Eukaryota; Metazoa; Chordata; Mammalia; Rodentia; Sciuridae. The record is from RNAcentral.
UGUGGAGUUGGGGCUCAGUGGCAGAGCGUUUGCCUGGCACGUGUGAGGCCCUGGGUUCGAUCCUCAGCACCACAU